UGGGGAAUAUUGGACAAUGGGCGCAAGCCUGAUCCAGCAAUGCCGCGUGUGUGAAGAAGGCCUUCGGGUUGUAAAGCACUUUUAUCAGGAGCGAAACGCUGUCGGCUAAUACCCGGCGGAACUGACGGUACCUGAGGAAUAAGCACCGGCUAACUUCGUGCCANCAGCCGCGGUAAUACGAAGGGUGCAAGCGUUAAUCGGAAUUACUGGGCGUAAAGCGUGCGUAGGCGGUUUCUUAAGUCUGCUGUGAAAUCCCCGGGCUCAACCUGGGAAUGGCAGUGGAUACUGGGAGGCUAGAGUGUGUCAGAGGGUGGUGGAAUUCCCGGUGUAGCGGUGAAAUGCGUAGAGAUCGGGAGGAACAUCAGUGGCGAAGGCGGCCACCUGGGGACAACACUGACGCUGAGGCACGAAAGCGUGGGGAGCAAACAGGAUUAGAUACCCUGGUAGUCCACGCCCUAAAACGAUGCGAACUGGAUGUUGGUCUCAAACUCGGAGAUCAGUGUCGAAGCUAACGCGUUAAGUUCGCCGCCUGGGGAGUACGGUCGCAAGACUGAAACUCAAAGGAAUUGACGGGGUCAUAGCUGUUUCCU
Molecule: ribosomal RNA, 590 nt
Filed under: uncultured bacterium
Lineage: Bacteria
Description: partial 16S ribosomal RNA
Rfam family: Bacterial small subunit ribosomal RNA
Source: RNAcentral